CGCCUCUUGCAAAACUAAUGAAUAAGAGGUCCCGCCUGCCCUGUGACUAUAUGUUUAACGGCCGCGGUAUUUUGACCGUGCAAAGGUAGCGCAAUCACUUGUCCUUUAAAUGGGGACCUGUAUGAAUGGCAUAACGAGGGCUUAGCUGUCUCCUCUUUCAAGUCAAUGAAAUUGAUCCUCCCGUGCAGAAGCGGGAAUAAUAACAUAAGACGAGAAGACCCUAUGGAGCUUUAGACACAAAAUAGACCACGUCAAACACCCUUGAAUAAAAGAACAAACUAAGUGGGCCCUAUUCAAAUGUCUUUGGUUGGGGCGACCGCGGAGUAACAAAAAACCCCCACGUGGAAUAAAACACCACUUUAAAACCAAGAGCCACUGCUCUAAUAAACAGAACAUCUGACCAAUGAGAUCCGGCCUAGCCGAGCAACGAACCGAGUUACCCUAGGGAUAACAGCGCAAUCCUCUUUUAGAGCCCAUAUCGACAAGAGGGUUUACGACCUCGAUGUUGGAUCAGGACAUCCUAAUGGUGCAGCCGCUAUUAAGGGUUCGUUUGUUCAACGAUUAAAGUCCU
This 571-nucleotide ribosomal RNA is filed under the name Canthigaster solandri (spotted sharpnose). RNAcentral describes it as "partial 16S ribosomal RNA". It matches the Rfam family "Bacterial large subunit ribosomal RNA", at positions 1817 to 2597 of the family's 2925-position model. The record is from RNAcentral. Lineage: Eukaryota; Metazoa; Chordata; Actinopteri; Tetraodontiformes; Tetraodontidae.